AAUGAGUUCGUGCAGUGGUUUCAGGAGUCAAGUAGAUGCGUAUGUUACAGCUGAUGAGAUCCUACUAAGUUUAAAUCUAUUGCAAAGACACUUAUAACUAUUGCAAUUACGAUUACCAUUCCCACUACAGAAUUUCUUGAACAAAUUAUGUCCAGCUUCCGCUACAGAGUCAAGUAUAUAUUUGUUAUAGGGAUAAGUAUUUUUUCAAUAGCAUUACAAGAAUUGGAUAUUUUCUGCUAAAAGGAAUCUAAAACGGAAACUAAUUAUGAGGAAAAUAAUGUGAAAAGAGGAAAAACACGGAUAUUUUUACGAUAAGCUUCCCUGAGUGGAUUUGUACUCCGGUAUUAUCCGUGCGCGAUUAUGUACGUAUCGCUUAUUCGAGCGGUAAUUAAAACUUCUUUUAUAUAUAUAUAUAUAUAUAUAUAUAUAUAUAUAUAUAUAUAUAUAUAUAUAUAU
Odontomachus brunneus is the source of this 456-nucleotide long non-coding RNA. RefSeq lists it as uncharacterized. The record is from RefSeq and is a predicted model, not a curated record. Lineage: Eukaryota; Metazoa; Arthropoda; Insecta; Hymenoptera; Formicidae. The transcript is spliced from 2 exons.